Ceratotherium simum simum (southern white rhinoceros) is the source of this 443-nucleotide non-coding RNA. The record is from RefSeq and is a predicted model, not a curated record. NCBI's taxonomy places the organism in Eukaryota, Metazoa, Chordata, Mammalia, Perissodactyla, Rhinocerotidae.
GUGAGGAACUACUAGGUGGUGAACCGGACUCCCAAACGAGGCUGGUUGAAGGAUAUAAACCCAGCUUGGGGAAAACCCAAAACCAGGACACAGGUCUUCCAGCCCCUAGCCCAGAGAUUCCUUGACAGGACACCCUAUCAUCCUCGGUCAUCCAGAGUCUUGUUCCCAAGACUCUGCGGGACCUUCAACAGUUUAGAGAAUGGAGGGUUCCACAGGCCUGGUGCAUCAGAGUACAGAAGCUGUUAGAUCUUGCCCUGUGGACGUUUCCUCACUCCCUCACUCCCUCCAAAUUUCUGAGGCCCUCUCCAAAUCACGUUCCCUGAGAGGAUGCUGAAGAAGCCACAAACAAAACUUUCACCCCUGAGGCAGGACACACCAGAAACCGGAGUGCCAGGGCUAUGUGAAGAGCCCAGUGAGAGGUGAAUUUGGGGGCCGGCCCCGUG